Vicia villosa (hairy vetch) is the source of this 324-nucleotide long non-coding RNA. RefSeq lists it as uncharacterized. The record is from RefSeq and is a predicted model, not a curated record. Lineage: Eukaryota; Viridiplantae; Streptophyta; Magnoliopsida; Fabales; Fabaceae. The transcript is spliced from 2 exons.
CAAGAGUAGAGAAAGAGGGGAAGGGGAGCAAAAGAGGAAUAAGGUGGAAGUUAGGGUUUGAAGAAAUUCAAGAGGCUUGACGAUUAGUAGCUGGCGUGUGAUCUGACUCGGAGUUUCUUCUGAGUUGCUUGGUAAUUAAGUAGUGAGUCGAUGCUCUGGUCAUGUAACACUGGGUAGAUUAGUUGUGUUAAACUCAUGUUUCUAUUUGGUUAUGUAUUAUGUUUAUGACUUGAGAACUUGUUAUUUGGCUACUUGUUGUUUGAGAGGCUUUCAAGCCAAAUAUUCUGAAUUAUAUUUUAAUUUAUGUUGAUAUGAUUAUUGAGA